This 1611-nucleotide ribosomal RNA is filed under the name Triticum aestivum (bread wheat). RNAcentral describes it as "partial small subunit ribosomal RNA". Lineage: Eukaryota; Viridiplantae; Streptophyta; Magnoliopsida; Poales; Poaceae. The record is from RNAcentral.
GAUUUCAACAUCAUUAGGAGAAGAGAGGAGAAGAAUAAUGAUAACUUUGACGGCAGAUGGUCGUUCAUGUUCAAUACUAUUAUUGAAAGCCUGGAUCUGAGGGAGAUUGAGCUUUCUGGUAGAAAGUUUACCUGGGCUAACUCUUUGCCAAACCCGACGUACGAAAAGCUUGAUCGCGUUCUUGCGAGUGUGGAGUGGGAACAGAAGUUCCCGCUUGUGACGGUUCAAGCUCUUUCGCGGGGUUUCUCCGAUCACACACCACUGUUCGUUGACUCAGGGGAGCCGAAACACGUGGGAAAUAAAAACACAUUUUCUUUUGAGAUGGCCUGGUUCGAACGCGAAGGGUUCCUAGACCUGAUCGCUAGGGAAUGGGCGAAGGGUGUAGGCGGUAGGACCGCGGUCGAGCGUUGGCAAAAUAAGAUUAGGAGUUUGAGAAGUUUCUUACGGGGUUGGGCUAAGCAUCUUAGUGGGGCAUAUAAGGUUGAGAAGGACAGGCUCCUCUCUCUUAUACAGAAUCUGGACGUCAGGGCCGAAUCCACGAUUUUGAUGCCUGCUGAGCUCCAGGUUAAAACUGAAGCAGAGAAGAGGUUGAAAGAACUUCUCCGUGAAGAAGAAUUGAAGUGGGCUUUGCGGGCUAAGGUUCGCAAAGUAGUCCAAGGGGACGCAAAUACUCAAUUCUUUCAUCUGAUUGCUAAUGGUAAGCACAGAAAGAAGAGAAUAUUCCAACUUGAACAAGAUGAGGGCACUAUUUUAGGACAGGAUAACCUAAAAACAUAUAUAACCGAAUAUUAUAGGCAGUUAUUUGGACCUCCGGAGGACAGUUGUGUGUCUCUCGAUGAGUCCAGAAUUGACGAUGUGCCUCAACUUUCGGCUGCUGAAAAUGAUAUUCUGGUUGCCCCGUUUUCGGAGAAGGGGGUGUUUGAUGCUAUAGCACAGUUGAAAAAUAAUAAGGCUCCCGGACCGGAUGGGUUUCCGGUGGAGUUCUACAAGAAGUGUUGGCAUAUUAUUAAGGGGGAUUUGCUACCUAUGUUUCAGGAUCUGUUCUCUGGACAGCUUCAAUUAUUUCAAUUGAAUUUUGGAACUAUCACACUGCUUCCUAAGAAGACGGAUGCUGUGAGAAUUGAGCAGUUCAGGCCCAUCUGCCUACUCAAUGUUAGUUUCAAACUAUUCACCAAGGUCGGGAAUAAUAGGCUCACACAGAUUGCGCAUUCUAUGGUGCAGCACUCCCAAACUGCUUUCAUGCCGGAUAGAAACAUCCUUGAAGGGGUGGUCGUCCUUCAUGAAACGCUCCAUGAAAUCCAUUCCAAGAAGUUAGAUGGAGUCAUUUUUAAGGUGGAUUUCGAGAAAGCGUACGAUAAGGUUAAAUGGCCAUUUCUCCAGCAGGCAUUGCGUAUGAAAGGUUUUGAUGAAGCCUGGCGACGUCAGGUUGAAUCAUUUACGCAAAAAGGGAGUGUGGGAAUUAAAGUGAAUGACGAUAUUGGUCAUUACUUCCAGACACAUAAAGGCCUUAGACAAGGAGAUCCGAUGUCCCCUAUCUUGUUUAACAUUGUGGUUGAUAUGUUAGCUAUCUUGAUAGGAAGGGCUAAGGAGAAUGGUCAAGUGGGUGGCUUG